GGAUAUGAGAGCGAUCUGGCUGCGACAUCUGUCACCCCAUUGAUCGCCAGGGUUGAUUCGGCUGAUCUGGCUGGCUAGGCGGGUGUCCCCUUCCUCCCUCACCGCUCCAUGUGCGUCCCUCCCGAAGUUGCACGCUCGGUCGAAGAGGACGACCAUCCCCGCUAGAGGAGGACCGUUAUUCGGUCAAGGGUAUACAAGUAGCUGCGCUCCCCUGCUAGAACCUCCAAACAAGCUCUCAAGUAGACAGUUAUGCCAAAUAAACCAGGAAGACAUACAGAGACAAA
RNAcentral lists this small nuclear RNA (284 nucleotides) under Carlito syrichta (Philippine tarsier). Its description in RNAcentral is "7SK RNA (ENSTSYG00000029756.1)". It matches the Rfam family "7SK RNA". From Rfam's summary of the family: 7SK was discovered as an abundant small nuclear RNA in the mid-70s but a possible function has only recently been suggested. The record is from RNAcentral. Lineage: Eukaryota; Metazoa; Chordata; Mammalia; Primates; Tarsiidae.